CCAGACCGCGAGCCCCGAGCCCCCUGCGGCCCCGCGCUCCGGGCGGCCCAGAGGACGCCGCGCCGCCCGCGGUGCCACGGACGCGUGAAACCGCUGCCCCCCCGCUCGUCCUCUCCCAGCAAACAGUGUCAUUCGACCUCCUGCUUCCUGGAGGACUCGUCCUGAAUCACUCCACCAGACUCCCCUCAGCCUUCAGUAGGACCUUUGCUGAUCUGGAUGGCUUACCUGGUUCGGUGAUCCUGACCCUUUCUGCUAAGUGAUCUGAACCACUGGCAUCAUCCCUUCUCAAAGGGUGCCUUUACCAUCAAAAUUGGACAAGUAAAUACCAAGUAGUCCACAGAUGGACCACCCAGUCCAUCUAGGUUUAUGGCUCCAGCAACACCAGGCAGCACAGUGCAGUGAAAACAGCACGGUCAGAGGAAGCCGGACCCUGAACCUGAUUCCAUGAUGACUCAUCGCCUAUCGCCUGUCACCUUGGUAAAGCAGAGACUUCUCAAAUCACAUUGAAAUGCUCUUGUCAUUAGGAAAGCCACACGCAUGCCACAAUGAGAAGCCUUCACACUUUCCCCACACUGAAGGGUUCCCAUGAAGCCUGGCGGACCACACAGUCCAGAGUAUCUAUAACUUAUAGAAAUAAAAAAUACUCCUUUGUGAACAAAUUGGAACAUUCAUCUUUUCUCCCUACCUGAUCCCUCCAGAAUUCAAAAACUCUAGUGCCAUCAGGUGUGAGAAACUGCAUCGUUCUCCCCCGUCACCACCAUCAAGAAGGUGACACUGAGAUGCCAGCUCCGUUCUGCACAGACGUCUUAAGUCUCUUGAAUGUCGGAUGAGUACAAAAGACUGGAAGGAAGGGUCAUUUUAGAGACCAAACGAAACGUGUUCAAAACGAGAUUUUAUUUGUGGCUUGAAAUCUUCAAGCACAACGCCCUUUGAAGUUAAAUUCUUACUACCUCACUUAUUUCAUCAGAAUUAAUACAAAAGACAUACUUACCAACCAAGACAA
This is a long non-coding RNA of Suricata suricatta (meerkat), 1003 nucleotides long. RefSeq lists it as uncharacterized. Lineage: Eukaryota; Metazoa; Chordata; Mammalia; Carnivora; Herpestidae. The record is from RefSeq and is a predicted model, not a curated record. The transcript has 7 exons.